Molecule: long non-coding RNA, 5325 nt
Organism: Pectinophora gossypiella (pink bollworm)
Lineage: Eukaryota; Metazoa; Arthropoda; Insecta; Lepidoptera; Gelechiidae
Exons: 8
Source: RefSeq, a predicted model, not a curated record
AUAAAUUAAAUUCUGCUGCAACUAUUGGGGCUGGAAAUGCAAAUGUAAAAAAAAUGGCUUGGGUACGCCUUACACAAGAAUUUAACUCCAUUGAGACCAAUAGUAAACGAACAGAGGCACAAUUAAAAAAAUGUUGGGACAAUUUAAAAACCAGAAGAAAACAAUUUCUAGCACAAGAAAAAAGGGAACGCAUGAGGACCGGAGGUGGGUUGUAUGCAGCUAGUACCUCUCAAGGCUCCCAGGAGGCUAUUGAUGCUGCUCUUUUGGAUGCCACAAAUAUAGAGCUACAAGGCGUGUUUGAUAGUGAUAGUGAUAUGGUGUUGGACCACAACAUGUUAGCCCCAGUACCCGAUCUCCCUGCACCUGCAGCCCCUGCAGCACCCGCUAAUACCGUGUGCGUCAAGCUAGCGGCCUCAAAAAAAAAUGGGCACGAAAAAAUAAUUUGACCAUACCAAAAAAUAGUACUCUUAUUGAAAAAAAUAGUACCUGUUGUAAAAAAAAUAGUACCAUCACGGUUCUGGAUUUAUAGCCAUGUUUUAUUGCACUUGCUAGCUUGACGGUGAGCGAAAUUUGACGAGAGUUAACGACAAGGUCUUUCGCUUUGAUUUAAACGCCAAAAAAUAGUACCGAAAUAGUACUCACCCCCUGCAAAAUACCGAAAUGAGUACUUCAACGGUUCCAAAGUUAUAAAGGCAGUUCUUUGAUCCCGCUGGCUUGACGUUUUGAAAAUACCUAUUAUCUGGGGAACGCUUGCAUACUUCAGUUUGUAACUAAUGUCAAUAAACUCGUAUGAAAUAGUACUCCCUACCAUCAUAAUUUGGACCUGAUUCUCUUUGUAGAAAUAUGUCAAAAAGUCAUUAUAACCUAUGUCAUACAUUUAUCAAGACAGGUACCGUCGCGAACAAAAUUAUUACACAUGCUCAAGAAGGAUGUUGUCAGAUUUUAGUAUUUUUUUCCCAUUUUUGGGUAAAAAAUGGUGAUGAGCCCGGGUUGUCAAAUGAAAGUAAUAUCAUUGUUGAAACUCUUUGAGUUAUUCUACAAAUACUGCAAAUUGUUUAUUAACAAACACUUCGAUCCGUAACAAAUUGAAUAUGAAGGUAUAAAUUAUAAAAUAAAACAGUAGAUUAAAAAUGAAUUAUGAUGUAUUAAAAUCACAGAUUGUUUUCAAUAAGAACUAGACCCAUGCAGCCAUUUUCUAUUAAAAUUAGUGCAUAUGGGUGUAUGAAAUAGCAUUUUUUUUGUAAUAGAAACACUCUGAAGUGCAAAGAAAUGGUAGGGUAGACCUCCAAAAUGGCAAUACUUACGAAUAAAUUGUGAGGUUAUGUAAUUGUCUACGUGACUGUAUCAACAACAAAUGUAUGGCAUAGGUUAUGAUGUUUUUUUAACAUAUUUCUACAAAGAGAAUCGGAUCAAAAUUAUGAUGGUAGGAAGUACUAUUUCAUACGAGUUUAUUGAUAUUAGUUACAUACUGAAGUAUGCAAGCGUUCCCCAGAUAAUAGGUAUUUUCAAAACGUCAAGCUAGCGGGAUCAAAGAACUGCCUUUAUAACUUUGGAACCGUUGAAGUACUCAUUUCGGUAUUUUGCAGGGGGUGAGUACUAUUUCGGUACUAUUUUUUGGCGUUUAAAUCAAAGCGAAAGACCUUGUCGUUAACUCUCGCCAAAUUUCGCUCACCGUCAAGCUAGCAAGUGCAAUAAAACAUGGCUAUAAAUCCAGAACCGUGAUGGUACUAAUUUUUUUACAACAGGUACUAUUUUUUUCAAUAAGAGUACUAUUUUUUGGUAUGGUCAAAUUAUUUUUUCGUGCACAUUUUUUUUUUGAGGCCGCUAGCUUGACGCACACCUAAUACCUCACCUGGCGAAGGACCAUCCCAAAUACAAAAAGCUAUUCCUGUGGAAGUUGAUAUUGAAAUAAUGGAUAAUCAAUAUCGUCCAUCAGCCGGGUCUCGUCUCUCCGAUUAUGAGCCACCUUCUCUAAUUCAAGAGUCUGUUCCUGUGGCACAAGUAGAGCUACCUCGUCGACCAUCAACUGGAUUGAGAGAACAUGAUUAUGGAGCACCUUCUCAAACUCAAGCUUCAAAGAACAUUCGGGCUCAUGUAAUUAAUCAGGAGUUCACCUUGCGAAAGGAUAGAUAUCAGGUGAUAGUGGACAGGGAGGAGGAGCUACACAAAUUGAGGAUAGCAGAGCGGGAGUGGCUCGUAAAGGCAGCUGAGGAGACAUAUCAUAAAGCUCGCCUUGAAAAGGAAAGUGCGCAGGAGUUGCUGCUAUGCAGCCGGGCUAAGCGAGAGCUAGCAGAGCUGCAUCUUUCUAGGGAAAGAAAGAAAUAAAUUGAUAGUUUUUAUUACAUUUUUUUUAUUGAGCAUAUCCCUUGUAUUUGGAGCAAUAACUAAUUUUAACUAUGAUACAAAUAAUGGAAUCUUAAAGAAUAUUUCUAAGAACUUUUUCUAUAUGAAUUAUAACAUAAUAUUAUAGGUAUUUAAUACAUAUCUAACAUCUAGAUAGAAACUAAACUAGUACAUAAUACAAUACAGUAACUCUUUAUUAUUUAAAUACAAGAAGCAAGUGGUACAAAAGGCGUUCUUUUUGCUGAGGAAACAUAACUAACAUAACAAAAUUAUACUUAACUAAAAUGUCUUGCGAUAAAACUAGCUCUUAUAAUACUACCUCGUUCAUUGUCUGGAACAGGUGUUGGUGGGUCUAUCCUUGACCUCAAGGGUUCUGGCAUUUCUUGGUUAGUGUUAACACUGAUAUUGUGCAAUACAGCACAUGCCACGAUGAUGUUAGGGACAUUUUUUAUUUUGUUCUGAAGCUUCCUGCUUAAACAAGCAAAUCUUCUUUUCAGGACACCAUUCAGCCUUUCUAUAAUAUUUCUAGUACUGAUAUGGGAUCUGUUGUAGCGCUCCUGAUCUGGUGUUUGUGGAUUUAGCACGGGAGUAUACGUGUAAGACGACUGUGCAUAUCCACUGUCCCCUAAAAGUAUGCCAGCACCUACUAAAUCCCCUUCUUCAAAGCGCAUACUACAACGGCUGUUGCUGAAUAUGCGGGAAUCAUGGGCAGAUCCUGGCCACCUCGCCACAAUGUCGUAAAUCAACAUUUGUGGCCCGCAUAUUAGUUGUACAUUUAUAGAGAACUCACCUUUUCUAUUUCUGAAAAGUUCUCCAUUUUCCCGACUCGGAUUUUUAAUUGGUACGUGAGUGCAGUCAAUGCACCCGAUUACCCCUGGGAAUUGAGCACGUUGGUAAAAUGCUCUCUUCACGUUGGCUCUCUCGUGUGCUCCAGGGAACUUGAUAAACUCAACUACUUUCAUUGCUAAUAUUUUCGAUAGCUUAGCCACGAUUUUAGAUACAACUGGCUGACUGAUCUUAUGCAGGUCUCCGCAAACAAUCUGUUGAAACAGAAAUAGUUUGGUAAAUAUUUUUUAUAACUGUAGAUAAGUAAUUAUAUAAAUGCUUGAAUGGCUAACUUACCUGGAAGUUUCCUGUAGCAUAAAAUCUUAACGCUAUGAGUAGUUGCAAUAUGGGUGGUAAAGGUAACCCUUUGUUGGUUACAUUUGAUUGCAAUCCAAUCAGUGGCAAUAUCAUAUGAACAACGGUAUCUUUCCUAAAUCGAAAGCGUUUUUGAAAUUGUUCUUCGUCGUAACAUUCCAAAGGGUUUUGAGCGUCUCUGAUAUAUUUCCGCGCCGGAUAAUCGUAAGGAUUAUCAUAAACAUAAUCCAUAAACUCUUCAAAGUCACUAUAUAAGUCACUAUCACUCAUUUUAAUAACAAAAAUCGAAGUUUGUAAUAUAAAAAGUAUCGUCACAACAAGCGUUUGCACGGAUUUCAAGCGUUGAGUAGUCCUUAAGGUUGGUCACGAGGUACCUUACAUUUGACAGUUCAUUCCUCAAUUUUUACUCACCUCCAGUGAGGAAGAACCAUAAGUCGAGGACGUAAAUGUCAACUAUGAAUACCAAAAAUCCUCAACCGAGGUUGAGUCGAGUGGAGGAAAUCUUGAGUGACAUCUGAGAAUACGGGUGUAAGUCUCAAUUUACAUAUUAAACCGUAAUUCUACAUAAAAUAAAGCUACAAAUCCUUUAAAAGUGAGUUUAUAUUAUUCCGCUACAAUGGAUUUCCCCUAUACGUUACCAAAAUUAAUUUCGUUACAAAUCCCAAAUUCGAAAGAUAACUACCAAACUCUGUCCUUUAUUUGAAUAUAGCAACAUUUUUUGAGCGGUUGCAACCAAAAAGGUAUGAAAAACAGGUCAGUUCGCGUCGGAAUUUGUAACGGAACGUUUGUGUUCGACGUGUCUCAUCCCUGUGUUCCCAACAACCUCGGAUCAUGGCGCCUCUAACACCAGCCCAGAAACAAAAAAUUACAGGGAACGAAUUAAACAAGAUCCAGAAAAAUAUAAUUGGCGAGAUGAACGAAGAAGAAAAAAAAGAACAAAGAAAAAUUUGGAGAGUCAAAAAAAAGGGAACAAAAAAUGAAAAAUAUUGAAAAAAAAAAUACACGACGAUGAAAAACAAAAACUUGAAGAGAAAAAAAGAAUCAUAAUGAUGAGAAACAGAUAUGCCGAAAACACAGAAAAGAUAGAGCACAUUUGCUUUUAGUUAAAAAAUAUAAUCGUGCUUUAACAAAAAUAAAAAAACUUAAAAACAUAAUUGAUUAUAGAAGAAAACUAUACAAAAACUUGGAAACUACUACUGCACAAAAACUUAAGGAACUGGAAGAUACUAUUAACAAGAAACAAGCCCGGGAGGAGGUCCUAGAAAUUUCACUUCGAAAUGUCUACAGACAGUGUUCCUCUUCAACAGAAAAAGACGUUUUGAAGAAUAUUGUCAAUCAGGAACCUAUUAAACAAAACAAAUCUGUAGGUUACGUAGCGAAAUUGCUAGGUUUGCGUGGAAGAAUUCGACACAAUAAAGCAAAAAUACCAAAAUAUUCAGUAUUUGAGAAGGAAGUACGAGCCUUUUAUCUCCGUGAUGACGUCAGCCGAUGUACUUCGGGUAAAAAAGAGUGUAUAACUAACAAGAAAAAUAAGCAACAAAGAAGAUAUUUACUGGAUGUUUUGUCUAAUUUAUACGAAAAGUAUAAAAAGGAAGGGGGAAAAUUCAGCUUUUCCACAUUUUUUAAGUACAAACCAUUUUUUGUAUUGUCACCAGGUCUUACCAACAGAGAGACAUGUCUGUGUAUUAAGCACAGUAACAUGGAUUUAUUAUUUAUGGCCCUUAAACAAAGUGGAUUGUUAUCGAACCAAAAUAUUUUUGCACUGCUGACCAGCCUAGUUUGUGACACAAAAAAACUUUUUUUUAUUUCCAACCGAAAUAAAUAUUAUUUCAAAAAUGUUAA